GAUGAAGAACGUAGCGAAAUGCGAUAAGUAAUGUGAAUUGCAGAAUUCAGUGAAUCAUCGAAUCUUUGAACGCAUCUUGCGCUCCUUGGUAUUCUGAGGAGCAUGCCUGUUUGAGUGUCAUUAAAUUCUCAACCGCACUGACUUAGAAUUGGUGUGGCUUGGAUUUGGGGGGAAAAUUGUUGUGGGCUUUUUUGUAUAGUCUGCUCCCCUGAAAUUGAUUAGCGGUACCUUUGUGGAACUGUCUACAGGUGUGAUAAUUAUCUACAUCCUAGACAUCUGCUGGAAUGCUGCUUUCUAAACCUUACUUGUAUUGACAAUCUUGACCUCAAAUCAGGUAGGACUACCCGCUGAACUUAAGCAUAUCAAUAAGCGGAGGA
RNAcentral lists this unclassified non-coding RNA (377 nucleotides) under soil metagenome. RNAcentral's name for it is "partial contains 5.8S ribosomal RNA, internal transcribed spacer 2, and large subunit ribosomal RNA". The stretch from base 1 to 120 matches the Rfam family "5.8S ribosomal RNA", at positions 35 to 154 of the family's 154-position model. The record is from RNAcentral.